GGGGCCUUAGCUCAGUUGGGAGAGCACUGCCGUGGCACGGCAAAGGUCGUCGGUUCAAGCCCGACAGGCUCCACCA
This 76-nucleotide transfer RNA is filed under the name Salipiger sp. PrR003. RNAcentral describes it as "Yangia sp. PrR003 tRNA-Ala". It matches the Rfam family "tRNA". From Rfam's summary of the family: Transfer RNA (tRNA) molecules are approximately 80 nucleotides in length. Their secondary structure includes four short double-helical elements and three loops (D, anti-codon, and T loops). The record is from RNAcentral. Lineage: Bacteria; Pseudomonadati; Pseudomonadota; Alphaproteobacteria; Rhodobacterales; Roseobacteraceae.